Molecule: long non-coding RNA, 834 nt
Organism: Pyrus x bretschneideri (Chinese white pear)
Lineage: Eukaryota; Viridiplantae; Streptophyta; Magnoliopsida; Rosales; Rosaceae
Exons: 4
Source: RefSeq, a predicted model, not a curated record
CAUCCCGUCCCGAGAUUAUAAAAAUGUACGUGUGAAUUUACGAUUUUACCCCCUAGUUCGUUACUUUACGUGUAGUUUUGUGUUGUGUGGUGUUGUAGGACCACACCCACACUCAUACACUCUCUUUCUCUCCCGGGAUUCCCUCACUCUCUGUCUCUUCUCUGUCUCUUCUCUCUCUCUCUCUCCCAAGCUCUAUUCAUUCUUCUUCUUCCUUAUGAAAACGUACGGACAACACACACAUCACCCAAACCUUGAUGGAUCGAAGGAACCAAGGGCAUUUUUGGACUCGUGAAGCUCGUACGAGUGCAACCAUACCAUUUUCAGGACUUUUCAAGCUUAUAGGAAGCUUCUUGAGGUCCUAAGGAGGCUUGGAGUAGUUCGUUGGAAGUUUUUGGACGUAAGAACACGAAGAACAACAAGCUCAAAGUUUGGCCGGAGCUUUCGAGGCUUUUUCCGGCGAAUCCACGGCUAUUUAGGGGUCAAGGCAGGUGAAAAAUUAUACAGAGGAAGAAUGUAACCAAUCUAGGGGAGGCUCAGGAACCUACGAGACGUCGAUAUAAUCUGUUCAAGUAUAUGCAAAGGUGUGGUGACUACGAGGAAAAUUCAACGGUGUUCUGACAGAAUGGACCAAAUGAGGACUCACCUUCGGGUGGUUCAUCUUAGAAAUUGUAUAUUUUUAAAGCUUCCGAACUGUGUAAAUGGUUACGUCACUCUCACGUGACUGCCAGCAUGCCCUCCUUCGGGACGGGGUGUGUCAUUUAUAUUCUGGAGUUAGGAACCAAAUUUUAACAAUAUUUUAGGUCUCACUACUAUAUUUUUCACUUAUUUUUUUUA